GAGUGUGCCCUGUGUUUUUCAGUGUCACUGUUAGCUGUGGUCUUUCUGUACUUGGUGAACCGUGCCCGAGGUGGGAAUCUAAAUUAUUCUGCAAAACAAAGGGAACAAAUGAAGCCUUCUCAUUCAGAAUGAAACUCUGAAAUGGCUGCCGUGAGAGAGACAGCAUUCGCUGCUGACUGGAAACCUUCAGGAAAAUCACUUAGAAAAAUAACAUAGUGGAGAAUAUAUUUAUAUUUGAUACAUACCUACUUAAGGUUCACGCAGACCGUUUUAGCCUUUCGUAACCGUGUGUUAUGGAAGUGUUUAGUCAACAGUGAACAGUUUAGGGACUCUGGAACAUUCUGGAAGGACCUCGUCAGGGUCUGCAUCUUCUGUUGGGGUGAUUUUUAGUAAGUGCAUCCUUCAGAUGUAGCCUUUCCUUUGCAUCAUAGCAUGAAAAAGGGAAAACCCCCAAAGCAUAAGGGUCUGGGGUAGAAGCUGUUACGUACACAAUAAAGAACGGCGUCUUAACCGC
This 514-nucleotide long non-coding RNA is filed under the name Rattus norvegicus (Norway rat). Its description in RNAcentral is "long non-coding RNA NONRATT015343". The record is from RNAcentral. Lineage: Eukaryota; Metazoa; Chordata; Mammalia; Rodentia; Muridae.